GACGAACGCUGGCGGCGUGCUUAACACAUGCAAGUCGAACGGAAAGGCCCUGCUUUUGUGGGGUGCUCGAGUGGCGAACGGGUGAGUAACACGUGAGUAACCUGCCCUUGACUUUGGGAUAACUUCAGGAAACUGGGGCUAAUACCGGAUAGGAGCUCCUGCUGCAUGGUGGGGGUUGGAAAGUUUCGGCGGUUGGGGAUGGACUCGCGGCUUAUCAGGUUGUUGGUGGGGUAGUGACUUACCAAGGCUUUGACGGGUAGCCGGCCUGAGAGGGUGACCGGCCACAUUGGGACUGAGAUACGGCCCAGACUCCUACGGGAGGCAGCAGUGGGGAAUAUUGCACAAUGGGCGGAAGCCUGAUGCAGCAACGCAGCGUGCGGGAUGACGGCCUUCGGGUUGUAAACCGCUUUCGCCUGUGACGAAGCGUGAGUGACGGUAAUGGGUAAAGAAGCACCGGCUAACUACGUG
RNAcentral lists this ribosomal RNA (468 nucleotides) under uncultured bacterium. RNAcentral's name for it is "partial 16S ribosomal RNA". It matches the Rfam family "Bacterial small subunit ribosomal RNA", at positions 28 to 507 of the family's 1533-position model. The record is from RNAcentral.